ACGCUGGCGGCAGGCUUACACAUGCAAGUCGAGCGGUAACAUUUCUAGCUUGCUAGAAGAUGACGAGCGGCGGACGGGUGAGUAACGCGUAGGAAUCUGCCUAGUAGUGGGGGACAACAUGUGGAAACGCAUGCUAAUACCGCAUACGCCCUACGGGGGAAAGGAGGGGAUCUUCGGACCUUUCGCUAUUAGAUGAGCCUGCGUGAGAUUAGCUAGUUGGUGGGGUAAAGGCCUACCAAGGCGACGAUCUCUAGCUGGUCUGAGAGGAUGAUCAGCCACACUGGGACUGAGACACGGCCCAGACUCCUACGGGAGGCAGCAGUGGGGAAUAUUGGACAAUGGGCGCAAGCCUGAUCCAGCCAUGCCGCGUGUGUGAAGAAGGCCUUAGGGUUGUAAAGCACUUUCAGGAGUGAGGAAGGGCGUGCAGUUAAUACCUGUAUGUCUUGACGUUAACUCCAGAAGAAGCACCGGCUAACUCUGUGCCAGCAGCCGCGGUAAUACAGAGGGUGCGAGCGUUAAUCGGAAUUACUGGGCGUAAAGCGCGCGUANGCGGUUUGUUAAGUCGGAUGUGAAAUCCCAGGGCUCA
Molecule: ribosomal RNA, 586 nt
Filed under: uncultured bacterium
Lineage: Bacteria
Description: bacterial SSU rRNA
Rfam family: Bacterial small subunit ribosomal RNA
Source: RNAcentral